AUUGAACGCUGGCGGAAUGCUUUACACAUGCAAGUCGAGCGGCAGCGCGGCCUUCGGGCUGGCGGCGAGCGGCGAACGGGUGAGUAAUGCAUCGGAACAUGCCCAGUCGUGGGGGAUAACACUUCGAAAGAAGUGCUAAUACCGCAUACGUCCUGAGGGGGAAAGCGGGGGAUCGCAAGACCUCGCGCGAUUGGAGUGGCCGAUGUCAGAUUAGCUAGUUGGUGGGGUAAAGGCCUACCAAGGCGACGAUCUGUAGCUGGUCUGAGAGGAUGAUCAGCCACACUGGGACUGAGACACGGCCCAGACUCCUACGGGAGGCAGCAGUGAGGAAUUUUGGACAAUGGGGGCAACCCUGAUCCAGCCAUUCCGCGUGAGUGAAGAAGGCCUUCGGGUUGUAAAGCUCUUUCGGCAGGAACGAAACGGUGGGCUCUAACAUAGUCCGCUAAUGACGGUACCUGAAGAAGAAGCACCGGCUAACUACGUG
This 484-nucleotide ribosomal RNA is filed under the name uncultured bacterium. Its description in RNAcentral is "partial 16S ribosomal RNA". It matches the Rfam family "Bacterial small subunit ribosomal RNA", at positions 30 to 507 of the family's 1533-position model. The record is from RNAcentral.